RNAcentral lists this unclassified non-coding RNA (468 nucleotides) under uncultured Entrophospora. RNAcentral describes it as "SSU rRNA". It matches the Rfam family "Eukaryotic small subunit ribosomal RNA", at positions 569 to 1036 of the family's 1831-position model. The record is from RNAcentral. Lineage: Eukaryota; Fungi; Glomeromycota; Glomeromycetes; Entrophosporales; Entrophosporaceae.
AGCAGCCGCGGUAAUUCCAGCUCCAAUAGCGUAUAUUAAAGUUGUUGCAGUUAAAAAGACUCGUAGUUGAAUUUUGGGUCUGGCCGGGCGGUCCGCCCUCUGGGUGAGCACUGUUCCGACGCCGGGCCUAUCCUUCUGGUGAGUCGGCAUGUCCUUUAUUGGGUGUGUCGGGGAACCAGGACCAUUACCUUGAAAAAAUUAGAGUGUUCAAAGCAGGCGUAUGCUCGAAUACAUUAGCAUGGAAUAAUGAAAUAGGACGCGUGGUGCUAUUUUGUUGGUUUCUAGAACCGCCGUAAUGAUUAAUAGGGAUAGUUGGGGGCAUUAGUAUUCAAUUGUCAGAGGUGAAAUUCUUGGAUUUAUUGAAGACUAACUUACUGCGAAAGCAUUUGCCAAGGAUGUUUCCAUUAAUCAAGAACGAAAGUUAGGGGAUCGAAGACGAUCAGAUACCGUCGUAGUCUUAACCAUAAA